RNAcentral lists this ribosomal RNA (253 nucleotides) under uncultured bacterium. RNAcentral describes it as "partial 16S ribosomal RNA". It matches the Rfam family "Bacterial small subunit ribosomal RNA", at positions 524 to 776 of the family's 1533-position model. The record is from RNAcentral.
UACGUAGGGGGCUAGCGUUGUCCGGAAUCAUUGGGCGUAAAGCGCGUGUAGGCGGCCCGGUAAGUCCGCUGUGAAAGUCGGGGGCUCAACCCUCGAAUGCCGGUGGAUACUGUCGGGCUAGAGUGCGGAAGAGGCGAGUGGAAUUCCUGGUGUAGCGGUGAAAUGCGCAGAUAUCAGGAGGAACACCGAUGGCGAAGGCAGCUCGCUGGGACGGUACUGACGCUGAGGCGCGAAAGCGUGGGGAGCGAACAGG